RNAcentral lists this ribosomal RNA (721 nucleotides) under Nitrososphaerota archaeon. RNAcentral's name for it is "partial 23S ribosomal RNA". It matches the Rfam family "Archaeal large subunit ribosomal RNA", at positions 2396 to 2987 of the family's 2987-position model. The record is from RNAcentral. Lineage: Archaea; Thermoproteati; Nitrososphaerota.
CGACCAAGACGAGCCGUCCAGCGAUAGCGCAGGCCGGUGAGAGUUGGUCGUGAUUCUUUGUCCACAGGUUAGAAGGACGACAAUCCGUAUGACCCCGUAACGACUGAGGCGCGCAUAACAUGCGGCCAAUGAGAUGGCCAGGGCCGCCGCACGACGCGGGACGUUCCGACGUUCCGCGACAACAAUCGUGAGGCCUUGUAACGUCCUGGUCAUCAUACGCCGACCCCACGCAAAGUGCGCGUGGGUGAAGACAUAGUCUGAUCCCGCCAGAAAUGGUGGAAUAGAUUGCGAUGUCGGCUCUUCCCAUCCUGGUCCUGCAGCAGGGGCCAAGGGUGGGGCUGCUCGCCCAUUAAAGGGGAACGUGAGCUGGGUUUAGACCGUCGUGAGACAGGUCGGCCUCUACCUGAUGGAAGCGGAGGAACACUGUGGGGAAGCCCUGCCCAGUACGAGAGGAACAGCGGGGCGUAGCCUCUGGCGUACCGGUUGUCCGAGAGGGCACCGCCGGGCAGCUAAGCUAUCGUGGAUAACCGCUGAAAGCAUCUAAGCGGGAAGCCACUCCUAAGAAGAGUGUUCCGUCAGUACAGCCUUUCCCCGCAAGGGGAGGGGUGAGCUGUGAAGGCCUGCGAUAGAAGAUCGCGUUGAAGGGGUGGGGGUGUACGCUGGAAGCCUUCGGGCGACCAGUUCAGCCCGUCCACUACCUAUCGGCCAACGUGCGGAUGAA